CAGCCGCCGCGGUAAUACCGGCGGCCCGAGUGGCGGUCACUAUUAUUGGGCUUAAAGCGUCCGUAGCCGGGGUGGGAAGUCCUCCGGGAAAUCUGGCCGCUUAACGGUCAGAAUGCCGGAGGAUACUCCCAGCCUAGGGAGCGGGAGAGGCCGAGGGGAUUCCCGGAGUAGGGGUGAAAUCCUAUAAUCCCGGGGGGACCACCUGUGGCGAAGGCGCUCGGCUGGAACGCGUCCGACGGUGAGGGACGAAGGCCAGGGGAGCAAACCGGAUUAGAUACCCGGGUAGUCCUGGCUGUAAACGAUGCGGACUUUGUGUCGGACAAGCUAUGAGCUUGUCCGGUGCCGGAGGGAAACCGUUAAGUCCGCCGCCUGGGGAGUACGGCCGCAAGGCUGAAACUUAAAGGAAUUGGCGGG
RNAcentral lists this ribosomal RNA (414 nucleotides) under uncultured microorganism. Its description in RNAcentral is "bacterial SSU rRNA". It matches the Rfam family "Archaeal small subunit ribosomal RNA", at positions 459 to 872 of the family's 1478-position model. The record is from RNAcentral.